GGUGACUGCAGCUACGGAAUGACAGCGACCCGACAGAUCGUGCUGCGUAGGAUAAGCAAACUUUUCUGAUGGCGGAUCCCAGCUGUAGAUUGUUUAUCAGCAGUGUUUUUGUAGGGCUAAAUAAAUAUUUAAUAUUUAAACGACAGGGAUCCUUGGAGCCUUGAGGAACAUCAGGCCCCAGCACUAAAUAACCGUGUCAGUGCCACCGACAGCGGGCCCUGCCCCGACCUGGGACAGACAGACUGCCCUGCAGGCGCCGGGUGUAUGCGGAUGUCUUGUCGCUGGACAGCCAGGACGGACGGACGGACAGCUGGACAGCAGGGCAGCGGGCAGCUCGUGUCCCAGCACGCACAGGCUGGCUGCAGCGCGUCCCACUUCUGCUGCCAGGAACGGGGAGAAAGGCCGAAGCACAAACACUUGCAGCAGCAGUAACACUGAAGUGCGAUUUUUAAAUCUCUUUUUAAAUCACUUUAAGAGUGCAGCUACUUAAAGUUGAUAUAUCCAAGCAUUUAACUCUCAUUAACGUUCAUUCAGAUGCUGUAAGAAAAGCAGACAAAUUUUGAAUAUGCAAAAAGGCCCAGAGCUGGCUUAUUUGUUACACAGCCGUUUUGCAUUGCGGUGCUGCAGCAAACUGGUCUCAGGGCUGGCAAAGCAAGCAGACGGGUGAGCAUUCCCAUAGAACUAUUUGGCCUGCUGUAUGCAGGACUAUUUUAUUUGGUCGGUCGUGUGCAUUGUCAGUGUUUCUCUGUUGGUGUUACUAUUAUGCACUAUUAGAGCUAUCUGUCCUAGUUGUCUGCAGCUGGUGUAAAAUAAUCUUCAGAUUGUUUUUAUCGCACCACAGGCUUCAGAUAAACCACAACAGUGUGCAGAAUUAAGAAAGAUUAAGGGGGAAGAAUAUUAGAGGAGGGGAACAAAAUGAAAAAAUUUAACUGUCAUUAUCCUCAGAUGCGACACACUUCUGUGAGAAUAUGGGUAAAAAACAUGAAGAACUGAAAGCCAUGUUUAUAAUAUUAAUAAGCGUUAAAAAAUCAACAAGAACAUGUCAAAAAUAAAUCAUGGGAUCUUGGCUUCAGCGAGGAUUCCCAUGCUAUAUCAUCUACCUUUCUCAUAAGAAGGCUAGAGGAAUGUGGGCUAUGUGAAACUUACAUGAAAUGGUUACAAAAUGGCACUCAGAAGUAACUCCAAGUGAUUCACAUUCAAAACCAGAAGUUUGUAGCAAGUGAGAUUUCCAAAUAUUUAUGUCCUGAAUCCCAAAGUGCCUAAUUUUACUUGGUGCAAUAUGACAGAGAAUAUUUUUAUUAUCUUUGUGAAGGAUAUCCUGUUCAGGUGAGAGCUGCAAGCAUUUUGGAAGACAGAACUGAACAAAUCAUGACAAGUUGAAACAAAGUUCUAAAGUAAAUAGGAUGUAAUUCCAUGAAGCAAGAAACUUAAGUAAAGCUGGGAAUAACUGACUGCAAAACUGUAAGCUGGAGACAAACUGGCUAAGCAGUUACUUUACAAAAAGAAGUCUUGGUUCAGAGCAGUUCACAAAAGAAAAUGAGUCAACAGUGAUUCAGUGUUGUAAAAAAAAUGUGACGACUUUACUGGAAUGUAGAAAAAGACUGUCAAGCACAAGAAAAGUGAAGUAAUGUUUCCACUCCACUGAGCUCAAAAAGGCUUUUGGUGAAGAAAACUUCUCUGUUUUGGGCACCUCCUUCAAUCAGGGAGAGUUCUGCGGAGAAUGUGAUAAGCUACCAGAAGUCUGGAAAACCCAAGCGUGACUGAAAGAAGUUCAGAUAGAUACCUGAAAAGCCAGCAAAGACAUAUGAAAUGUACAGCCUGGGCAAUCUGAGAAUUUGAAAUGAAGAAAGCAGUUUGUUUAUGAGAAAAGUGAAUACACACACCAGCCCAACUGUUUAGUAAUGGAAAUAACUUUUUGCUGCAUAAUAAACUCUCAAGCUAAAGCACUGAUUAUCACGAGCCUUUCUUUCUUAGUGUACUCAAAUCCUCAUACCUGUAAUGUCCUGGGAGGUGCGAGAAAUAUCCUGAAGACAUAGAGCAGCCACAUGCUGAGAAGAAAAUCCUUUAUUUUAAAAUCCACUGAAGUAAAAAAAAAAAAAAAAAAAUCAAUGCCAGGCCUCUCCCGUAUUAUCCACUAUGGGGAGCUGAAGGCUAAUAUUGCUGGACAGAUGGCAAUUAAGAAUCCAGUUGCAUUCUAAAUUGGAGCUAUAAAGUCCAUGUGUAUUAAUUUUCACAACCUGAAUGCUGCAAAGCUCACAUGUAAGUAUUUGUUUUGACAGGAAUGCCAUUUAACCUUCUCUGAAGGAUAAUGGAAAACCAAAGCCAAGGUCAUCCAGCAUUUGCCCAGAAGGGGCAUUGCCAGCACCCACUCCUUCUGCCACUGCUAGAGACUUGUCUGAAUCAGAAACCAGGGCACUGUGAGGGACUGCCUGAAAUGUCUGAAAAUAGGCUCGAGGAAGGAUUCCUAUUCAGGAGGUAAUCUACCUUAUCCACAUAAAUAAUUGGAGGAAAUUACAUAGUUUGGAACAAAACCAACAAUUCUGGGGGCAGGUAUGCUGGAAAAAUAUAUUCUAUUUUCAGAUAUACCUGUGUGUAACUUGUAUGGACAGAAUGGUUCCAGAAACUUUUUGUCUCUGUAUGUAUUUUUGUAUAUUGUUUUAAACCAGAAUUGCAAAAAUAAAAAUAAAACUUUAAAGAG
Molecule: long non-coding RNA, 2698 nt
Organism: Cygnus olor (mute swan)
Lineage: Eukaryota; Metazoa; Chordata; Aves; Anseriformes; Anatidae
Exons: 2
Source: RefSeq, a predicted model, not a curated record